CACGGGUGGUAAUGCCGGAUGCUCCGACUCCUCGCAUGGGGUGUCGGGAAAGAUUUCAUCGGUAUGGGAUGGGGUCGCGUCCUAUCAGGUAGUCGGCGGGGUAACGGCCCACCGAGCCUACGACGGGUAGCCGGCCUGAGAGGGCGACCGGCCACAUUGGGACUGAGAUACGGCCCAGACUCCUACGGGAGGCAGCAGUGGGGAAUAUUGCACAAUGGGCGCAAGCCUGAUGCAGCGACGCCGCGUGCGGGAUGACGGCCUUCGGGUUGUAAACCGCUUUUGAUCGGGAGCAAGCCUUCGGGUGAGUGUACCUUUCGAAUAAGCACCGGCUAACUACGUGCCAGCAGCCGCGGUAAUACGUAGGGUGCAAGCGUUAUCCGGAAUUAUUGGGCGUAAAGGGCUCGUAGGCGGUUCGUCGCGUCCGGUGUGAAAGUCCAUCGCUUAACGGUGGAUCUGCGCCGGGUACGGGCGGGCUGGAGUGCGGUAGGGGAGACUGGAAUUCCCGGUGUAACGGUGGAAUGUGUAGAUAUCGGAAA
Molecule: ribosomal RNA, 536 nt
Filed under: Bifidobacterium pseudocatenulatum
Lineage: Bacteria; Bacillati; Actinomycetota; Actinomycetes; Bifidobacteriales; Bifidobacteriaceae
Description: bacterial SSU rRNA
Rfam family: Bacterial small subunit ribosomal RNA
Source: RNAcentral